RNAcentral lists this ribosomal RNA (253 nucleotides) under uncultured bacterium. RNAcentral's name for it is "partial 16S ribosomal RNA". It matches the Rfam family "Bacterial small subunit ribosomal RNA", at positions 524 to 776 of the family's 1533-position model. The record is from RNAcentral.
UACGGAGGGUGCAAGCGUUAUCCGGAUUUACUGGGUUUAAAGGGUGUGUAGGCGGACUGAUAAGUCAGGGGUGAAAUCCCGAAGCUCAACUUCGGAACUGCCUUUGAUACUAUUGGUCUUGAAUUAUGAUGAGGUUGGCGGAAUAUGACAUGUAGCGGUGAAAUGCAUAGAUAUGUCAUAGAACACCGAUUGCGAAGGCAGCUGACUAAACAUAUAUUGACGCUGAGGCACGAAAGCGUGGGGAUCAAACAGG